Molecule: ribosomal RNA, 1333 nt
Filed under: uncultured Psychrobacter sp.
Lineage: Bacteria; Pseudomonadati; Pseudomonadota; Gammaproteobacteria; Moraxellales; Moraxellaceae
Description: partial 16S ribosomal RNA
Rfam family: Bacterial small subunit ribosomal RNA
Source: RNAcentral
GGACUCGUAUUAAUACCGCAUACGACCUACGGGAGAAAGGGGGCAGUUUACUGCUCUCGCUAUUAGAUGAGCCUAAGUCGGAUUAGCUAGAUGGUGGGGUAAAGGCCUACCAUGGCGACGAUCUGUAGCUGGUCUGAGAGGAUGAUCAGCCACACCGGGACUGAGACACGGCCCGGACUCCUACGGGAGGCAGCAGUGGGGAAUAUUGGACAAUGGGGGAAACCCUGAUCCAGCCAUGCCGCGUGUGUGAAGAAGGCCUUUUGGUUGUAAAGCACUUUAAGCAGUGAAGAAGACUCCAUGGUUAAUACCCAUGGACGAUGACAUUAGCUGCAGAAUAAGCACCGGCUAACUCUGUGCCAGCAGCCGCGGUAAUACAGAGGGUGCAAGCGUUAAUCGGAAUUACUGGGCGUAAAGGGAGCGUAGGUGGCUCUAUAAGUCAGAUGUGAAAUCCCCGGGCUUAACCUGGGAACUGCAUCUGAAACUGUAGAGCUAGAGUAUGUGAGAGGAAGGUAGAAUUCCAGGUGUAGCGGUGAAAUGCGUAGAGAUCUGGAGGANANANACNCGNAUGGCGAAGGCAGCCUUCUGGCAUAAUACAUAGACACUGAGGCUCGAAAGCGUGGGUAGCAAANAGGAUNAGNUACCCUGGUAGUCCACGCCGUAAACGAUGUCUACNAGAAGUUGGGUCCCUUGAGGACUUAGUGACGCAGCUAACGCAAUAAGUAGACCGCCUGGGGAGUACGGNCCGCAAGGUUAAAACUCAAAUGAANUUGACGGGGGNCCCGCACAAGCGGUGGAGCAUGNUGGUUUAAUUCGAUGCAACGCGAAGAANCCUUACCUGGNUCUUGANCANUAUCUAGAAUNCCUNGCAGAGNAUGCNGGGAGNUGNCCUUNCGGGAAUUAGAAUACANGGNUGCUGCAUGGCNUGUNCGUCAGCNUCGUGUCGUGNAGAUGUUNGGGUUAAGUCCCGCAACNGAGCGCAANCCCUNGUCCUUAGUUACCAGCGGGUUAAGCCGGGAACUCUAAGGAUACUGCCANGUGACAAACUGGAGGAAGGCNGGGGACGACGUCAAGUCAUCAUGGCCCUUACGACCAGGGCUNACACACGUGCUACNAAUGGUAGGUACAGAGGGCAGCUACACAGCGAUGUGAUGCGAAUCUCAAAAAGCCUAUCGUAGUCCAGAUUUGGAGUCUGCAACUCGACUCCAUGAAGUAGGAAUCGCUAGUAAUCGCGGAUCAGAAUGCCGCGGUGAAUACGUUCCCGGGCCUUGUACACACCGCCCCGUCACACCAUGGGAGUUGAUUGCCACCAGAAGUGGAUAGCUUUAACCCUUCG